UCAGUAACACGUAGUCAACCUGCCCUGGAGACCCGAACAACCCCGGGAAACUGGGAUUAAUGCGGGAUAGGUCAUCUCAUCUGGAAGGAGAGAUGGCCGAAAGGGGUGCGCGGGCUUCUUCCGUGUACUUGUUCCAGGAUGGGACUGCGACCGAUCAGGCUGUUGGCGAGGUAAUGGCUCACCAAACCAGUAACCGGUACGGGCCUUGAGAGAGGGGGCCCGGAGAUGGACACUGAGAGAAGGGUCCAGGUCCUACGGGGCGCAGCAGGCGCGAAACCUUCGGGAUGCGCGAAAGCGUGACGAGGUUAAUCCGAGUGGUCCCCGCUGAGGGGAUCUUUUGUCGGCUGUAAAAAGGCCGGUGAAUAAGGGGAGGGCAAGUCUGGUGUCAGCCGCCGCGGUAAUACCAGCUCCUCGAGUGGUCGGGGCGAUUAUUGGGCCUAAAGCAUCCGUAGCCGGUUCCGUAGGUCUUCUGUCAAAUCCAACGGCUCAACCGUUGGCCCGCAGAAGAUACCGCGGGACUAGGAGGCGGGAGAGGUGGGCGGUACUCCACGUGUAGGGGUAAAAUCCUUUUGUCUGUGGAUUA
This 583-nucleotide ribosomal RNA is filed under the name uncultured archaeon. Its description in RNAcentral is "bacterial SSU rRNA". It matches the Rfam family "Archaeal small subunit ribosomal RNA", at positions 90 to 656 of the family's 1478-position model. The record is from RNAcentral.